RNAcentral lists this ribosomal RNA (308 nucleotides) under uncultured eukaryote. Its description in RNAcentral is "SSU rRNA". It matches the Rfam family "Eukaryotic small subunit ribosomal RNA", at positions 111 to 414 of the family's 1831-position model. The record is from RNAcentral.
AAUAAUUUAUUUGAUGGUUUCUUACUACAUGGAUAAUUGUAGUAAUUCUAGAGCCAAUACAUGCGUAAAGUCCCGACUCUCGCGGGGAGGGAUGUAUUUAUUAGAUAAAAAACCAAUGCGGGCUCUGCCCGGUUUUGUGGUGAAUCAUAGUAACUUUUCGAAUCGCAUGGCUUCACGCCGGCGAUAGUUCAUUCAAAUUUCUGCCCUAUCAGCUUUCGACGGUAGUGUAGUGGACUACCGUGGCGUUAACGGGUAACGGAGAAUUAGGGUUCGAUUCCGGAGAGGGAGCCUGAGAAACGGCUACCACA